Molecule: ribosomal RNA, 304 nt
Filed under: uncultured bacterium
Lineage: Bacteria
Description: partial 16S ribosomal RNA
Rfam family: Bacterial small subunit ribosomal RNA
Source: RNAcentral
CAGCAGUCGCCGCGGUAAUACGAAGGGUGCAAGCGUUACUCGGAAUUACUGGGCGUAAAGCGUGCGUAGGUGGUGGUUUAAGUCCGUUGUGAAAGCCCUGGGCUCAACCUGGGAAUUGCAGUGGAUACUGGGUCACUAGAGUGUGGUAGAGGAUAGUGGAAUUUCCGGUGUAGCAGUGAAAUGCGUAGAGAUCGGAAGGAACAUCUGUGGCGGAGGCGACUAUCUGGGCCAACACUGACACUGAGGCACGAAAGCGUGGGGAGCAAACAGGAUUAGAUACCCGCGUAGUCCCUGUCUCUUAUAC